This 327-nucleotide ribosomal RNA is filed under the name uncultured eukaryote. RNAcentral describes it as "partial 18S ribosomal RNA". It matches the Rfam family "Eukaryotic small subunit ribosomal RNA", at positions 1470 to 1796 of the family's 1831-position model. The record is from RNAcentral.
CCCUUAGAUGUUCUGGGCUGCACGCGCGCUACACUGAUGCGUUCAACGAGUGUACAACCUUGACCGUGAGGUUUGGGUAAUCUUUUGAACACGCAUCGUGAUGGGGCUUGAUUAUUGCAAUUAUUAAUCAUAAACGAGGAAUUCCUAGUAAUGGCGAAUCAUCAGUUCGUCGUGAUUACGUCCCUGCCCUUUGUACACACCGCCCGUCGCUCCUACCGAUUGAGCAAUCCGGUGAAUAUUUCGGACCGGAGGCAAGUGUGGUUCGCCGCGCUCGCUUCUGGAAAGUCAAGUGAACCUUAUUGCUUAGAGGAAGGAGAAGUCGUAACA